UGGGGAAUAUUGCGCAAUGGGCGAAAGCCUGACGCAGCGACGCCGCGUGGGGGAUGAAGGCCUUCGGGUUGUAAACCUCUUUCAGCAGGGACGAAUUCAGACGGUACCUGCAGAAGAAGCACCGGCCAACUACGUGCCAGCAGCCGCGGUAAUACGUAGGGUGCAAGCGUUGUCCGGAAUUAUUGGGCGUAAAGAGCGUGUAGGCGGCCAGUUAGGUCCGUUGUGAAAACUCGAGGCUCAACCUCGAGACGCCGAUGGAAACCAAUUGGCUAGAGUCCGGAAGAGGAGAGUGGAAUUCCCGGUGUAGCGGUGAAAUGCGCAGAUAUCGGGAAGAACACCCGUGGCUAAGGCGGCUCUCUAGUACGGUACUGACGCUGAGACGCGAAAGCGUGGGGAGCGAACAG
Molecule: ribosomal RNA, 404 nt
Filed under: uncultured bacterium
Lineage: Bacteria
Description: bacterial SSU rRNA
Rfam family: Bacterial small subunit ribosomal RNA
Source: RNAcentral